Molecule: transfer RNA, 63 nt
Filed under: Ixodes scapularis (black-legged tick)
Lineage: Eukaryota; Metazoa; Arthropoda; Arachnida; Ixodida; Ixodidae
Rfam family: tRNA
About the family: Transfer RNA (tRNA) molecules are approximately 80 nucleotides in length. Their secondary structure includes four short double-helical elements and three loops (D, anti-codon, and T loops). Further hydrogen bonds mediate the characteristic L-shaped molecular structure. tRNAs have two regions of fundamental functional importance: the anti-codon, which is responsible for specific mRNA codon recognition, and the 3' end, to which the tRNAs corresponding amino acid is attached (by aminoacyl-tRNA synthetases). tRNAs cope with the degeneracy of the genetic code in two manners: having more than one tRNA (with a specific anti-codon) for a particular amino acid; and 'wobble' base-pairing, i.e. permitting non-standard base-pairing at the 3rd anti-codon position.
Source: Rfam by way of RNAcentral
GCAGUCAUGGCCGAGUGGUUAAGGCGAUGGAUUCGAACACAGGUUCGAAUCCUGUCGACUGUG